RNAcentral lists this ribosomal RNA (301 nucleotides) under uncultured bacterium. RNAcentral describes it as "partial 16S ribosomal RNA". It matches the Rfam family "Bacterial small subunit ribosomal RNA", at positions 509 to 808 of the family's 1533-position model. The record is from RNAcentral.
CAGUAGCCGCGGUAAUACGUAGGUCCCGAGCGUUGUCCGGAUUUAUUGGGCGUAAAGGGAGCGCAGGCGGUUUAGUAAGUCUGAAGUUAAAGGCAUUGGCUCAACCAAUGUAUGCUUUGGAAACUGUUAGACUUGAGUGCAGAAGGGGAGAGUGGAAUUCCAUGUGUAGCGGUGAAAUGCGUAGAUAUAUGGAGGAACACCGGUGGCGAAAGCGGCUCUCUGGUCUGUCACUGACGCUGAGGCUCGAAAGCGUGGGUAGCGAACAGGAUUAGAUACCCCCGUAGUCCCUGUCUCUUAUACA